Long non-coding RNA from Haliotis rubra (blacklip abalone), 113 nucleotides. RefSeq lists it as uncharacterized. The transcript has 3 exons. The record is from RefSeq and is a predicted model, not a curated record. Lineage: Eukaryota; Metazoa; Mollusca; Gastropoda; Lepetellida; Haliotidae.
AAUAAGCCAGAAGGCGAGGCAGGUUUGUGAGUUCAGGCAUGUUCAAUCACUGUGGCUUUUACUGACAUUCCAGAAGUCAGUGAUACUUGCUGAACACCACCAGGAUCCAUUCA